This 468-nucleotide ribosomal RNA is filed under the name uncultured bacterium. Its description in RNAcentral is "partial 16S ribosomal RNA". It matches the Rfam family "Bacterial small subunit ribosomal RNA", at positions 28 to 507 of the family's 1533-position model. The record is from RNAcentral.
GACGAACGCUGGCGGCGUGCUUAACACAUGCAAGUCGAACGGAAAGGCCCUGCUUUUGUGGGGUGCUCGAGUGGCGAACGGGUGAGUAACACGUGAGUAACCUGCCCUUGACUUUGGGAUAACUUCAGGAAACUGGGGCUAAUACCGGAUAGGAGCUCCUGCUGCAUGGUGGGGGUUGGAAAGUUUCGGCGGUUGGGGAGGGACUCGCGGCUUAUCACCUUGUUGGUGGGGUAGUGGCUUACCAAGGCUUUGACGGGUAGCCGGCCUGAGAGGGUGACCGGCCACAUUGGGACUGAGAUACGGCCCAGACUCCUACGGGAGGCAGCAGUGGGGAAUAUUGCACAAUGGGCGGAAGCCUGAUGCAGCAACGCCGCGUGCGGGAUGACGGCCUUCGGGUUGUAAACCGCUUUCGCCUGUGACGAAGCGUGAGUGACGGUAAUGGGUAAAGAAGCACCGGCUAACUACGUG